Molecule: ribosomal RNA, 394 nt
Filed under: uncultured bacterium
Lineage: Bacteria
Description: partial 16S ribosomal RNA
Rfam family: Bacterial small subunit ribosomal RNA
Source: RNAcentral
AUACGGAGGAUGCGAGCGUUAUCCGGAUUUAUUGGGUUUAAAGGGUGCGCAGGCGGUCUGCUAAGUUGGAGGUGAAAAGCCCGGGCUCAACCUGGGUCGUGCCUCCAAUACUGGAGGACUGGAAUGUCCGUGCCGGGGUAGGAAUGCGUAGUGUAGCGGUUAACUGCAUAGCUAUUACUCAGAACACCGAUUGCGAAGGCUUCUCACGAACGUAUGAUUAACGCUCAUGCACGAAAGCGUGGGGAGCGAACAGAAUUAAAUACCCGGGUAGUCCACGCCGUAAACGAUGAUGACUAACCGCCGGCGAUAGAAUGAUCGGUGGCCAAGCGAAAGCGAUAAGUCAUCCACCUGGGGAGUACGACCGCAAGGUUGAAACUCAAAUGAAUUGACGGGG